This 460-nucleotide ribosomal RNA is filed under the name uncultured bacterium. RNAcentral's name for it is "partial 16S ribosomal RNA". It matches the Rfam family "Bacterial small subunit ribosomal RNA", at positions 338 to 795 of the family's 1533-position model. The record is from RNAcentral.
CCUACGUGAGGCAGCAGUGAGGAAUAUUGGUCAAUGGGCGCGAGCCUGAACCAGCCAAGUAGCAUGAAGGAUGACUGCCCUACGGGUUGUAAACUUCUUUUAUAAAGGAAUAAAGUGAGGCACGUGUGCCUUUUUGUAUGUACUUUAUGAAUAAGGAUCGGCUAACUCCGUGCCAGCAGCCGCGGUAAUACGGAGGAUCCGAGCGUUAUCCGGAUUUAUUGGGUUUAAAGGAAGCGUAGAUGGGUUGUUAAGUCAGUUGUGAAAGUUUGCGGCUCAACAGUAAAAUUGCAAUUGAUACUGGCAGUCUUGAGUACAGUUGAGGUAGGCGGAAUUCGUGGUGUAGCGGUGAAAUGCUUAGAUAUCACGAAGAACUCCGAUUGCGAAGGCAGCUUACUAAACUGCCACUGACAUUGAUGCUCGAAAGUGUGGGUAUCAAACAGGAUUAGAUACCCUAGUAGUC